This is a long non-coding RNA of Argiope bruennichi, 898 nucleotides long. RefSeq lists it as uncharacterized. Lineage: Eukaryota; Metazoa; Arthropoda; Arachnida; Araneae; Araneidae. The transcript has 2 exons. The record is from RefSeq and is a predicted model, not a curated record.
CCCAUGAAUCACCUGGCGUGUAUUGGAUUUUGAAAUUCAACCAGCAACGCAUACUGUCAUUUCAAGAAACUUGGUUCAUCAAAUCUGCAAAAAGAAGAGUGAACUUGAAGAAAAGUAUAUGUAUAAUUCUUUAUAUGUAUUACCAGCAAAAUAUGAAAUCCAGUAUUCUAUAGAAUGCCCAAGCAUUGUAUAUAAUGCCUAAAACAAGCCAGUAAUGUAUGAAACAAUUUGUAUUUCAUACAUUUUCUAAGCAUUCUAUAGAAUGCCAAAUGACAACCUGGCAAAGUAUGAAAUACAUCUCUCAUUCAAUGAAAUAAAAAUUUUGUGCAACCUUUGUUUCAAAACUGAAAAUGCAAUUAAAGAUAAAAUAAAUUUUAAAAUUGAUCUAUAAAUAUAAACAAAAAAAAAAUUCUCAAUAUUUUUUUGGAAACUACUGUGCAAGUUUCUAUUCCUGACUUAAAGAAAGAGCAAAAUAUUGGAAGUUAUAAUUAAUGUGACGGAGUAUGGUUUCUACCUACUUGGAACAUCAGAAGGAAAUUUAAAACAAUUAUAUGUCCCAAUUCACUUUAUAUCCUAAGAACUUGUUUAGAAUUGAAGAUAUUCCAAAUCAGAAAAUUUCUCUCUGGUCAGUUGCAAUUACUCAGAGCAGUGGAAGCAAUCAAGGAUUUAUCAGAUGUAUGUGUUUAAGUGCCAAAAUAUGUAAUGUCUUUUCGUGAAAAAUGUAGUAAAACUUCAAAAUGUUGCAAUGUGAUAGGCUUGAAUGACAAGUAGGUAAAUUUUAAUUUCUGAUUUUUUUAUCUGAAAACUUAUUUGCCUUAAUUAGAAAGGCAUAAAUUUUGUUUUGUACAAAUUUUAUUUUUCUAUAUAAUUUGAAUAAAUUUUUUUAAUGGCAACCUCA